RNAcentral lists this unclassified non-coding RNA (364 nucleotides) under uncultured bacterium. Its description in RNAcentral is "contains 16S-23S intergenic spacer region". The record is from RNAcentral.
UCCCGGUUGGCCCGGGCAGUCUCGCGUGAAAAAUUCAACACACGACAAGGGUUGCGCUCGUUGCGGGACUUAACCCAACAUCUCACGACACGAGCUGACGACGGCCAUGCAGCACCUGUCACCUGGUUCCCGAAGGCACUCCAGCAUUUCUGCCGGAUUCCAGGGAUGUCAAGCCUCGGUAAGGUUCUUCGCGUAUCGUCGAAUUAAACCCCAUGCUCCACUGCUUGUGCGGGUCCCCGUCAAUUCCUUUGAGUUUUAAGCUUGCGCUCGUACUCCCCAGGCGGCAUGCUUAUCGCGUUAGCUUCUCAGCCCAAGGGGUCGAUACCUCGAACUAAUAGCAUGCAUCGUUUACGGCGUGGACUAC